Molecule: ribosomal RNA, 768 nt
Filed under: uncultured bacterium
Lineage: Bacteria
Description: bacterial SSU rRNA
Rfam family: Bacterial small subunit ribosomal RNA
Source: RNAcentral
UUCGCCCUUAGAGUUUGAUCCUGGCUCAGAGCGAACGCUGGCGGCAGGCUUAACACAUGCAAGUCGAGCGGGCGUAGCAAUACGUCAGCGGCAGACGGGUGAGUAACGCGUGGGAACGUACCUUUUGGCUCGGAACAACACAGGGAAACUUGUGCUAAUACCGGAUAAGCCCUUACGGGGAAAGAUUUAUCGCCGAAAGAUCGGCCCGCGUCUGAUUAGCUAGUUGGUGAGGUAACGGCUCACCAAGGCGACGAUCAGUAGCUGGUCUGAGAGGAUGAUCAGCCACAUUGGGACUGAGACACGGCCCAAACUCCUACGGGAGGCAGCAGUGGGGAAUAUUGGACAAUGGGGGCAACCCUGAUCCAGCCAUGCCGCGUGAGUGAUGAAGGCCCUAGGGUUGUAAAGCUCUUUUGUGCGGGAAGAUAAUGACGGUACCGCAAGAAUAAGCCCCGGCUAACUUCGUGCCAGCAGCCGCGGUAAUACGAAGGGGGCUAGCGUUGCUCGGAAUCACUGGGCGUAAAGGGUGCGUAGGCGGAUCUUUAAGUCAGAGGUGAAAGCCUGGAGCUCAACUCCAGAACUGCCUUUGAUACUGGGGAUCUUGAGUUCGGGAGAGGUGAGUGGAACUGCGAGUGUAGAGGUGAAAUUCGUAGAUAUUCGCAAGAACACCAGUGGCGAAGGCGGCUCACUGGCCCGAUACUGACGCUGAGGCACGAAAGCGUGGGGAGCAAACAGGAUUAGAUCCCCUGGUAGUCCACGCCGUAAACGAUG